AGAGUGGACUGGAUGGCCGCUGGCCGAGGCCGGAUGCGUCGCCAUAUCGACGCCCCUGCGGCCUCGGCGAGAGGAAAGUCCGGGCUCCGCAGGACACGGUGGUGGGUAACGCCCACCGGCCGCAAGGCCAGGGAAAGUGCAACAGAGAGCAGACCGCCUCACAGGGUUCCCCCUGUGCGGUAAGGGUGAAACGGUGAGGUAAGAGCUCACCAGCAGGCCGGGUGACCGGCCUGGCUAGGCAAACCCCACCGGGAGCAAGGUCAAGCAGGGAGCAGCGGCUGGGGUGAAGCCCAGGUGGUUUCGCCCGCCCGCGGGCUGGUCCGGCCCGCUAUCGACUCCCGGGUGGACCGCUCGAGGUGCCGAGCAAUCGGCAUCCUAGAUAAAUGGCCAUCGCCCGCCCGGUUUCGUCCGGACGGGAACAGAACCCGGCUUACAGGUCCGCUCGCGUC
RNAcentral lists this RNase P RNA (449 nucleotides) under Planctomycetota bacterium. RNAcentral's name for it is "RNase P RNA component class A". It matches the Rfam family "Bacterial RNase P class A". From Rfam's summary of the family: Ribonuclease P (RNase P) is a ubiquitous endoribonuclease, found in archaea, bacteria and eukarya as well as chloroplasts and mitochondria. Its best characterised activity is the generation of mature 5'-ends of tRNAs by cleaving the 5'-leader elements of precursor-tRNAs. Lineage: Bacteria; Pseudomonadati; Planctomycetota. The record is from RNAcentral.